Molecule: long non-coding RNA, 884 nt
Organism: Polypterus senegalus (gray bichir)
Lineage: Eukaryota; Metazoa; Chordata; Cladistia; Polypteriformes; Polypteridae
Exons: 2
Source: RefSeq, a predicted model, not a curated record
UGAUGGAUUUACAACGAGAAUCGUCUUGCAGUCACACUAGGAAUCGCUUCGCGUUCAUAAAAAUAUUUUUGCCAUCUGGUUUUAAACUUCUACAUAGUUUUGUAUUGAGGCAGCCACUGUGUGAAAGAGAAAAGAGCAAAUGAAAUCUAAGUUAGCCCAGACGUCUUCUGCUUUACACCUCCUUAUUGUUUGGCUGCAAGUUAUGGAAGAACUUAAACAGUUAAAAUGAAUAUAAAUGACAAGCAAGGUGGAAUUGUAUGUUAUGAUGAAUAACAAAGGAACUGCCUGGAAUGAAACGUCCGUUUUGUCCCACGAUGUCACCUCCUCAACAUUACAGAUUCCUGUUCUGUCCACCAGAAGCUGCGGUUGACACCCACAGGCCAUAGGGGGACCAAAUUUUACUCUCAAAAACCAUCCACUUGAAGGUUCGAAAGGCCACCCUUCAUUUGUUGCCAUUUUCACAGGUUCCAUAAAAACCUAUGAACGAAUGAUAACAGAUCUGGGAAACACCAAAAAGGCUCCUGAUUUGGAAAGGACAAUAAGUGGGCCUCUGUUCAGGAGUUCUUCAUCUGUCCCAUCGUCCUACAGUCUUAAAAAUCCCAGUUCUCCAACGGCAUUUUAUGGUCUUUGACUUGGUCCUGUGGUAGAACUCUGGCUUGACCGAGCACCAUUUCAUUCUGGGAAGGGUUCUGCACUGAUGGUGUUGGUACUUUGGACUUUGAAGAACUUUCUUAAUUGGAGAAAAAAAAACUGAAAUCCUUCAUGUCUGGUUUUGAAAUCACAAGCCAUUGCUAUUUCACAAAUCUGUUUGCUUCUGUUCAUGGUCAUUUACUUUAUGGAGUCUGUUUUGGGUCUAAAUAAAUACAUGCAGGUACUUUCUGGAA